GUAGGAUCCGUUGGAUAUCGGGUUUGAAUGUGGGAGGCAUCAACUUCCAAUUCUAAAUACGUCUCAAGACCGAUAGAGUAUUAGUACCGUGAGGGAAUGCUGAAAAGUACCCCUAUAGGGGGGUGAAAAGUACCUGAAACCAGAUAGUGACAGCCAGAUGUGGCGCGUAAGGAAUGAAUUCUUCCGAAAGAAUCAGUGGUAACAUUGUAGUAUGAGGAGGUUGGACUAGUGUUGCAUCGUCCGUCUUGAAACACGGGCCAGGGAGUUCUUUGUUGUGGUGAGGCUAAAAGGUUUUUAUCCUUGUAGUCGUAGGGAAACCGAUAUGCCCGCAGCGUUGUUGAGGGGCAAGGUCUUAAUAGGGCCUGGAAUCACAGCAUUGAAACCCGAAGCCGGUCGAUCUAUUCCUGAGCAGGAUGAAGUCGCUCUUACGAGCGAUGGAGGUUCGCAGGGUUGUUGUUCUGCAAAACACUCUUUUGACUUGGGAAUAGUGGUGAAAGGCCAAUCAAGGCCGGCGACAGCUGGUUCCACUCGAAAUGACUCUAAGGUCAGCCUGACUGGAGGUUGGUGGCGGGGUAGAGCACUAAUUGGACGUUUAGGGAGGGAAACUUCUCGGCGUACUGUAAAACUCCGAACUCGUCACCGUCGUAGAAGGUUGGAGUGAGGGGCGCGGGGUAAGCUUGUGUCCCGAAAGAGAAACAACUCAGACUAUGGUUAAGGCCCCUAAAUACUGGAUAAGUGUAAGGGAGUCUUUGGCCCAAGACAAUGGGAAGGUGGGCUUAGAAGCAGCCACCCUUUAACGAGUUCGUAACAGAUCACCCAUCGAGGUCAGAGGCACCUAAAAUGGACGGGAAUUAAUCCAGUUGCCGAUACCAUGGAACACCUUUUUUUUGGUGAUUGUGUAGAGUGGCGACCUGUGUGGGUUGAAGAGGGGGCGUGAGUUCCUUUGGACCUUGCAGGUAUGUGGAUCCUGGUAGUAGUAGCAGCAAAGUGAGGUGAGAAUCCUUACCGCCGGAGGGGCUAGGGUUCCUUGGCAAUGUUCGUCAGCCAAGGGUUAGUCGAUCCUAAGGUCAGUCAUAAGUUGAGCUGGUCGAAAGGGAAGCAGGUUAAUAUUCCUGUACAUAGUAAAUUUGCGGUGACGUUGAGGGCUAAUUUCUGACACUUCGAGAUAUGUUUUGUAGGAUUGUCGUCCUAUUUACGUGUUUAAGCCUGGGGAGAGGUGUAAUAGCGAGAACCAGGUGUAGGCAUUAUGAGCUGGUCGUUUUUGUACUGGUUUAACUGAUUCAUGGAGUCCUUGAAAAGGGAGUUAGUUUUGUAUUUUACUAUUUCGUACCGAGAUCCGUCACAGGUGCCCCUAGCUGAGUAGGCUAAGGCGUUUUAAGGUAAACUAGCUAAGGGAAAUCGGCAAAAUGGCCCCGUAACUUUGGAAGAAGGGGUGCCAGCUAUGUGAAUAGCUGGUCUCAGUGACUAGGGGGGCCCGACUGUUUAAUAAAAACAUAGCUCUCUGCUAGCCCGUAAGGGUGUGUACAGAGGGCGACACCUGCCCAGUGCUGGCACGUGAAGCUGGAGUUCAGUUCAGUGAAGCGCCAGUAAACGGCGGGGGUAACUAUAACCCUCUUAAGGUAGCGAAAUGCCUUGUCGGACAAGUACCGACCUGCAUGAAUGGUAGAACGAGGUCCCCACUGUCCCUAGCUAGAACUUAGUGAACCUGCUAUUCUGGUGCACAAGCCAGAGUCUUCCAUUGGGAAGCGAAGACCCCGUAGAGUUUUACUGCAGUCUGUCGUUGAAGCUUGGUUAUAGGUAUGCAGUGUAAGUGGGAGAAUUCGAUUAUAAGUCGCCAGGUUUAUAUGAUUCGUUCUUGAGACACCACUUUCUUAUGACUGUGUUUCUAACUUACUUUGUGUGAGGACAUCGGUAGAUGGGCAGUUCGGCUGGGGCGGCACGGGCUUGAAAUGGUAUCAAGCCCGCCCAAAGGUCAACUCAGGUGGGACAGAGAUCCACCGUAGAGUGUAAGGGCAAAAGUUGGCCUGACUGUAUUUCGAUCAGCAAGAAAUCCAGAGGCGAAAGCCGGGCCUAGCGAACCUCAGAGUCCUCCUUGAUGGGGGCCUGAGAUGACAGAAAAACUACCU
RNAcentral lists this ribosomal RNA (2126 nucleotides) under human gut metagenome. RNAcentral describes it as "bacterial LSU rRNA". It matches the Rfam family "Archaeal large subunit ribosomal RNA", at positions 407 to 2537 of the family's 2987-position model. The record is from RNAcentral.